CAAAUACGAAACUGCUCCAAUUUUCUAAAUCUGUAAGUUGCUUUUAUUCUCAUUUUAGAAUUCCUACGCAAUGUCCCUUUAGUUUUCAUUCUGAUUUGCUUUUCUCUCGAAUUUCAAUUGUUUCUUUUGGGUAAAGCCUUAUUAUUGAAUCGAAUUCAGUGGAAUGUGUUUUUAAUCGUUCAUUAAGAUGUGAUCCAUUAUAAAAUGGAAGCAAAGGUGUAUUGUUUAUGUUUCUUUGUGAUUUGUGUUGUUAUAGCUUUUUGUUGCCUUUUAUGUAGAUUCGUAUUUUAUUUAUUUUAUUUUAAUGAAAUGGGGGACAUAUCUGCCAUCUGGUUUAUUUUAAUGACUACUUUUUCACAGGGAUAUCAUUUUUCUUCAAUUCUUCCACCAAAUUUCUUCACGUUACCUUUCUCCCAUGUAUGAUUAAGAUUUUCUUGUUAGAUGCCAACAUUUUCUAAAACUCAAAAGCAUGCACAUAACCCUAAGAUUCUGAUUUUGAUUAACCUCUUAAAAUGAUAUGAUGCUGUUAAACAAAACAGAUAAUAAUAAUUCAGCAAAUCGUAAUGCCUAUUAAAUUAAUGUAAAAGGAAAGCAUCUCUCUUUUUUCCUUUUUUUUUUUGGGUGUGUAGAAGAAGAAACUUUAAGAGAGGGUAGAUUACCAGCUUAAAAUCAUAGGCAUAAACUCUGGAAGUGUAAUGUGACAGAAGUUAAUGAAUGAAUUGGAAAAGUACUUCAAUAAUUGGAGAAGAGUCAUUUCCUUAUGACAGCAAAAGAGCUACAAUGGUAGUGCUUAGGCAAAUGUCUUCUGAAUUUAUAGUUAUAUUUGUUCCAACAAAAGUUUCUCCUCUUGAUUUAACAUAUUGUGCAUUUUACAACUCAUUCAUUAGAGGGAAUCUGCAGGAUUUUUUUUCCCUCUCAAUCACAAAUGCGAUGUUUUCUGCGAAAAGAAGAGUUGAAUGGCAUUUGGCUUUGGUGUCUCGUGAAAAUUGUUAACUGGCCUGCAUAGCAAAUGCUUCAUAAUUUUUGCCUUUCAGGAAAUUGCACAUUAAAUGAUCUGCCCAUGCUAUUGCUAAUUGGCUCUAAAAGCAGUCCUAUUGAACACUUCUGCUGCCUUUUAUUAUAUUUAGAAGAUGGAUUCACAUGUUUUCGUCUUCUUGAGCCGAGUUUCUUUCAGAAACAGCGCAUCUACCCCGCAGGGUAGGGAUAAGGUCUGCGUACACACUACCCUCCCUAAACCCCACUAAUUGGGAUUUCACUAGGUCGUUGUUGUUGGAUUCACAUGUUCACGCUUGGGGAAUUAGGACCUCUAAACUUAUAGGAAUAACGUAGAGUUGUAGACUGAGCAUUCAUCCUGAUAACAACCUCUCUAUCCUGCGGGGUAGGGGUAAGGUCUGCGUACACACUAUCCUCCCAGACCCCACUAGUUGGGAUUUCACUGGGUCGUUGUUGGAUUCACAUGUUUACGCUUGGGGAAUUAGGACCUCUAAAUUUAUAGGAAUA
RNAcentral lists this long non-coding RNA (1500 nucleotides) under Nicotiana tabacum (common tobacco). Its description in RNAcentral is "long non-coding RNA (NTAB_LNC007087)". The record is from RNAcentral. Lineage: Eukaryota; Viridiplantae; Streptophyta; Magnoliopsida; Solanales; Solanaceae.